AGGGCACCACCAGGAGUGGAGCCUGCGGCUUAAUUUGACUCAACACGGGAAAACUCACCCGGCCCGGACACCGUGAGGAUUGACAGAUUGAUAGCUUUUUCAUGAUUCGGUGGUUGGUGGUGCAUGGCCGUUCUUAGUUCGUGGAUCGAUUUGUCUGGUUUAUUCCGAUAACGAGCGAGACUCCAGCCUACUAACUAGUGCGAGCAUUGUCUCUGUGCUUGUCACUUCUUAGAGGGAUUGGCUGCGUCUAGCAGCACGAAACGGAGCAAUAACAGGUCUGUGAUGCCCUUAGAUGUCCGGGGCUGCACGCGCGCUACACUGGCAAAAGCAGCGUGCUUGUCCGCCUCCGAAAGGAGCCGGUAAACCCUUGAAAAUUUGCCGUGAUUGGGAUCGGAAAUUGCAAUUAUUUUCCGUGAACGAGGAAUUCCUAGUAAGUGCGAGUCAUCAGCUCGCGUUGAUUACGUCCCUGCCCUUUGUACACACCGCCCGUCGCUGCCUAGAACUGAGCCAUUUCGAGAA
This 519-nucleotide ribosomal RNA is filed under the name uncultured eukaryote. RNAcentral's name for it is "SSU rRNA". It matches the Rfam family "Eukaryotic small subunit ribosomal RNA", at positions 1161 to 1705 of the family's 1831-position model. The record is from RNAcentral.